GUACCCAAAACAUUCCAUGUAGAUUCACGCCCUUUCGAUUGUCACUCUCAUUAUUUACGCUCUACCUUGCUUAUCUAAUCGGUCCUUCUCAAUCUCCUCAAAUCCUCAUCAAACAAUUCUUUUGUUUUCUAUUAUGCCAUGCAUUCAGUUCAAGAGAAGGCAAGAUUGAAUUUCAGUAUAAGUUAAUUCUCAAUUUGCAAUUGAUUAGAUUUUUUUAUAGGUUUUAAUUUUGGAGUCUACCAAUCCUUUAAUAUCCAGUUCCAGCUCUUCAUCGAGUUUCAAAUGCUCGAUUUCAAGUAGUGCAUCCUUAUCAGAUCAUAUUAUUGUGUGUUCGUCGUCGAUUGGCGAGUUCGACGGAAUCCCCUGGACAUAUUUAUGAAAAUCCUGAAAUUACUUGGAACAAAAGAGAAUUAGCAAGGUCCGUGGGAUUCGAUGUUCUUCAUUGAAGCCAACUUACGGUCCUGUUAUCCUCUUCGGGUUGAUGGACGAAGAAAUGAAUACCUAUGAAAUUUCGGAGCUUAGAAGCUCUCAUAAAGCAACUUUGUUAUCAAAGAAGGAAAAUAAGAUCCAUGGAUUUCUUCCGGUCAGGAUUUUACCCUAGCAGCCCAAAGCAAGACAUACCGUGAAUAGUCAGUCAAAUAUCGGGAGAAGUAUCGCAGUGAGUUGAGAGCAUUGAUGGUGUCAAAAAAAGAAAAUGGAAAGCCACAUUUAGCUUCUACAAAUCCGUUUGUAAAGGUAAUCUUUGUGAAAAUGGAACUACUUAGAACCGUCACAAUGAUAUCCCUCCCCACAACUCUAGGCGGUAAUACUUGAGGUUGCUGGUUUGAAUGGGUUUCAAACACAAGCAACUAAUUUUGUCACCUAUUCAUGUUUACCUGAGAUCACUACUCGUAAAUUGCAGUGGAUUUUGAUCAAAGAUUUCGAUUUUGAUCAAAUCAUGAAGUUGUGGUGUUGUUGGUUGUAUCUGCUCACUCUCUUUGAUUAUCACCACAUGAUGAAAUUGUUAAUAGCAAGGCUAAUGGAAGAAUAAGGCCAGUUUUGGUUGUUUGGACUUGAAA
Long non-coding RNA from Cynara cardunculus var. scolymus (artichoke), 1058 nucleotides. RefSeq lists it as uncharacterized. NCBI's taxonomy places the organism in Eukaryota, Viridiplantae, Streptophyta, Magnoliopsida, Asterales, Asteraceae. The record is from RefSeq and is a predicted model, not a curated record. The transcript is spliced from 4 exons.